Molecule: long non-coding RNA, 131 nt
Organism: Bradysia coprophila
Lineage: Eukaryota; Metazoa; Arthropoda; Insecta; Diptera; Sciaridae
Source: RefSeq, a predicted model, not a curated record
UGUCCACGCACUUACUCCGUCUAACUCUCCGUUUACGAACGAACAAUGGAAAGUCCUCCCACUUCUUAUUGUUAAAAAGUAUACGGAGAGCUAAAGGGCGUAAGUGCGAUUACAGCUUUGCUAAACUUUGA